GACGGGUGAGUAACACGUGGGUAACCUACCCAUCAGAGGGGGAUAACACUUGGAAACAGGUGCUAAUACCGCAUAACAGUUUAUGCCGCAUGGCAUAAGAGUGAAAGGCGCUUUCGGGUGUCGCUGAUGGAUGGACCCGCGGUGCAUUAGCUAGUUGGUGAGGUAACGGCUCACCAAGGCCACGAUGCAUAGCCGACCUGAGAGGGUGAUCGGCCACACUGGGACUGAGACACGGCCCAGACUCCUACGGGAGGCAGCAGUAGGGAAUCUUCGGCAAUGGACGAAAGUCUGACCGAGCAACGCCGCGUGAGUGAAGAAGGUUUUCGGAUCGUAAAACUCUGUUGUUAGAGAAGAACAAGGACGUUAGUAACUGAACGUCCCCUGACGGUAUCUAACCAGAAAGCCACGGCUAACUACGUGCCAGCAGCCGCGGUAAUACGUAGGUGGCAAGCGUUGUCCGGAUUUAUUGGGCGUAAAGCGAGCGCAGGCGGUUUCUUAAGUCUGAUGUGAAAGCCCCCGGCUCAACCGGGGAGGGUCAUUGGAAACUGGGAGACUUGAGUGCAGAAGAGGAGAGUGGAAUUCCAUGUGUAGCGGUGAAAUGCGUAGAUAUAUGGAGGAACACCAGUGGCGAAGGCGGCUCUCUGGUCUGUAACUGACGCUGAGGCUCGAAAGCGUGGGGAGCAAACAGGAUUAGAUACCCUGGUAGUCCACGCCGUAAACGAUGAGUGCUAAGUGUUGGAGGGUUUCCGCCCUUCAGUGCUGCAGCAAACGCAUUAAGCACUCCGCCUGGGGGAGUACGACCGCAAGGUUGAAACUCAAAGGAAUUGACGGGGGCCCGCACAAGCGGUGGAACCUGUGGUUUAAUUCGAAGCAACGCGAAGAACCUUACCAGGUCUUGACAUCCUUUGACGACUCUAGAGAUAGAGCUUUCCCUUCGGGGACAAAGUGACAGGUGGGGCAUGGUUGUCCUCAGCUCGUGUCGUGAGAAGUUGGGUUAAGUCCCGCACCGAGCGCAACCCUUAUUGUUAGUUGCCAUCAUUUAGUUGGGCACUCUACCGAGACUGCCGCUGAGAAACCCGAGGAAGGGGGGGAUAAAGUCAAAU
Molecule: ribosomal RNA, 1103 nt
Filed under: Enterococcus faecalis
Lineage: Bacteria; Bacillati; Bacillota; Bacilli; Lactobacillales; Enterococcaceae
Description: bacterial SSU rRNA
Rfam family: Bacterial small subunit ribosomal RNA
Source: RNAcentral